AAGCAGCUUUGAAAGAGGGUGGACCUACAAUACAAUCAGUACAACCAUACAGUUAAUAAAUGCCUAGACUAUCUUGGCUCUUGGAAAACAAAUCAGGACUGCCUCUCACUCCUGACGUCCGGUCGCCGUGACAAAAAGAAAUUUUAAUGUCUUGUGUGACGACUGUUUACACACUUUCUCGUAUGUAAAUAAGGAGUUAUAGGAAGACAUAUAAAUCAUUGAACGACUUCAGCCAGAUUUCCAUAGUGAAGUCCAUAGUGAAUGUGUCAUAGACUGUCAAGAGGAGAGGCCUUUAGGUCGAAUCAAUAUAUUUUGUCGUUUCUUGGGGAAAGAUUGCUUUGAAGAGUGGUCACAGAAUGAAACGACUAAGACAUUUUAUUUUGACGACACAAGAGCGAGAAAAUUUGGAAUCGCUUGGAGUUUUUAUAUAUUGACUAUAUUUUUCCCAUCUGUAAACAUCGCACGCAAUCUGAGAUCUCCGGUCUUAUACAAAACCAAACACAGUUGUCUAAAAAACAAUAUUAGUUAUAUAUAUAUAUAGGCUAUUUCAUGAGAGGAUAAAGAAAUAUAAUCGAGUCUUAUGAUUAUUACUACACUUUCUGUCUGCUAGAAAAUCUCUUUUAAUCUACGCCCAUACUAAUCUUAGCCGAUAGCUUAUUUGGAAAUCACCAUGUCUGCGAUCUACGAGUCUUUUUUCGUUCUUUUUUCAUCAGUUUUUGUUGCAAAAGAAACUCAAUAAAGCCAACAAAACAAUAA
Long non-coding RNA from Actinia tenebrosa (Australian red waratah sea anemone), 756 nucleotides. RefSeq lists it as uncharacterized. The record is from RefSeq and is a predicted model, not a curated record. Lineage: Eukaryota; Metazoa; Cnidaria; Anthozoa; Actiniaria; Actiniidae.